GCCCACAACAAUAUCAUAUCUCCUCCACUAUUUCAGUGUCAAAAGUGAAACAAUAGCAUGUCGCUACUGUAAUUUCAAAUACUUUCAAUUUCAUACUGAAACUAUUAAAGUGAGACUAUACUCUCACAUAUAUACAGGCAUACUAUAAGACACAAGUUAAAAACAUUCCCAACAAUUCAACUUCUCUGGUUGACAUUAACACACCCACCCCCAAUAGGGGCCUUCAUUCCCACAUUUUAGAGCUCCAUGAGCUCCAUUUUGGAAUAUGCGCAUAAAGAUCAAUAGUAUGGGAUACAUGUCUCAUGAGUAGAAUUUUUUUAGGGCGUGUAAAGAGGGAAAGAACCCUCAUGUGAAAUUUUGAUGAAAUUCGAAUCAUAUGUAUUCCAGUUCCUUACAGAAAAUAUAACAGAAAAGUUUCAUUCUUCAAUUGCAUGUAACACGGGCAACGCCGUGUAUCUCUGCUAGUCUAUAAUAUUAUGUGACUUGCGAUGCAUUGAUAAUAAUAAUUAUAGUAAAAGUUUUGAAUCUUAACGUACAUUAUAAACAGUGUCCACCCCACCCCCACUGUUAUGAACAUUUAUGACUCUCCCUAAGUAACUAUACUUCUGAUCUGUGGGUAGAGGUUUUCCCCUGUCUGUAUUUUUUUUUAGUGUAUGUGCCUGUGAGCUUACCAUAUAAGUAUCUGUAUGUACUCAUAUGAACCUCAUUAUGUAUAUAUGUAUAUAUUUAUAUCUAUGUGUACCUCUGUGUGGACUGCAUGUUCAUAUGUAUGUAUAUAUGGGUAUAGGUAUAUUUAUGUCUAUAUGUUCAUUUAUGUGGACUACAUGUUCAUAUGUGUGUGUGUUGGUAUCUGGAUAUUUGUAUAUAUGUGUGAAUAUAUAUGUGUGUGUGUUUGUGUAUAUGAAUAUGUAAGAUUCAUACCAUGCUGUGUAGUAUUUGUAUAUGUACACAUAUACGAUAUAUGUGUGUAUUAGCAUAUAAGAUUAAUACUGGAUAUGUAUAUAUAUGACUACUUUCAUGCCCUUCUUACACUUCUCUUUACUGGCUCUUAAUCUGGGUGCUGUAUGGGAAGGAGAGAAAAAUUAUGCUUCAUAGAAUCAAAUUCAUGCUGUACACUAUGCUACCUAGCAAACGUUUACACAGAUUUUUCUAAACACGAACAAAUGCCCCUCAGUGACUACCUUCCUGUUGUCCCUUCCAAGUAUACAAUUUUAGGGCUGCAAGCAUCAACGUUGGCAUAAUGAAGGGGAGAUCUGUUGAGAUUGUUGAAAUGAUGGAGCAUUGUCAUGUUGAUGUGUAUGGUGUGCAAAAAGUGAGAUCGAAAGGAGCCUCUGUUAGAUUCCUCAUAGGUGAGAAACAGAAGUUUAAAUUCUUCUGGGUAGGCCGGAGUGAUGGAGUGGGUAGUGUAGGUAUACUCGUAGUGGAAAAGUGGGUGGAUAAGGUAAUUGAGGUAGUCAGAGUGUGCGAUAGGUUUAUUAAAUUGAGACUCAUCAUAAAUAGAUUAAGAGUUACAUUUAUCUCUGCCUAUGCUCCACUAACUGGGUUGGCUAAUGACCAGAAGGACCAGUUCGAUGAGGUCCUUCUGCAGACUACCUCAACAACAAAUGACAGAGACUUCGUUAUUGUAGCCGGCAACUUUAAUGGACAUGUUGGGCAGCUUUCCCAUGGAUUCCAUGUUGUGCUUGGCAGUUAUGGCUUUGGUACCAGAAAUGAGGAAGGUACAAAGCUACUUGAGUUCUGUGAUGCAAAUGAUCUGCAAUACUAACUUUAGAAAGCCAACCAGUCACCUAAUUACUUUUCGGUCUGGUGGGAAUAUAAGCCAGGUUGAUUAUCUCCUUGCUAGGCAGGAAGAUUAUCUCCUUGCUAGGCAGGAAGACAGGCAGAUGCUCCAGCAUAGGCUACUAGUUAGUGACUUCAGAAUUAGAGCUAGAGAGAUUUAAAGACAUAAUCCACGUUGGAAAAGAAGAUUAUGGAAGCUCAAAGACCCAGCAAACCAACAACAAUUUAGAGACGUUCUACUGGAAGCCUCUGAUGAUAGAGAGGUGGAAGAAGGGACAUAUAGCUUAGAGCAGUGUUCCCCAACCUUGUUUUCCAGUGCCCCACUUUUUAAUAACAAAUUUUCCAGUGUCCCACUUUUUAAUAACAAAAAAUCUGGCGCCGAUCAACAUUUUUUAAAAUAUAGAAACAGUUUUUUAAUUCAAUUACCUGGCUGACAGAUAGCCCAACUCAUUUAAGGAGAAUCCUGUGCCUGGUGCACAGGGUUCUUGAUUUGAGGAGACAAUUUCGUUAACAUCAGCUGUACUUCAUUACAUUUUGUAAUUUUCAGCUAGUUUCUCUUGGCUUCCAACAAAUUGUCAACUGCACUGAAUCAGCAUUCGACCAAAUAAGAUAAGGGAAAAUGAAUCAAUAGUUCUCUUGCUGAUAUAGAGAUGUUGGGGGUUAUUUUUUUUCAACCUUGUCACAUAGCCACAUAUUUGUACCUUUCACUUUAAACAAAGUCUUCACUGAUUCAUCAUGUUGCAAUUCUGAUAACUCUUCUUGGUAUUGAACUGCAGCAUCAGAAAUGUCAGUGAGCAGUGGUUGAGUUAACCAAGUGGGAAAAUCCAUUGUCUUCAAAUCACGAAAUUGGUUGUUGAAGUCUUUUAUUAAGAUAUUCAAAUGGUUAAUAAUUAUGGUGGCCGCAUCAUUCAUUAUCUCAUAUUUACUCAACCAGUAUAACGGACUGAAUUUUCUUUUGGAAACACCUUUUUGACAUAUUUUGAGGGCUGUAAUGAAUCCAAAAAUCUUUGCUUUCGCAUCAACAAGUAUCAUGUUUACACUUUGCAGUUGUUUAUUCAAGUUUCCAAGUUUCUCAAAGAUGUCUGUCAAAUAACUGACAAAUGUUUUUCCAUCCAUUGUUAACAGCAUUUUCAUUUCACAUUUAUCACUGAGAAAGUCGUUAAGCUGGUCAAAUAAUUUCAUGAACAUCUUUAAGCUAUUUCUACUUGAUAGCCACUUUACUUCUGUAUGAGACUAUAAUCAAACAUGCUCGGCACUUUGAUUUACACAAAAUUGCUUAAAAAGACAUUUGACUUUGGGAUUUGCUUUAAUUGAUGAAAUGGGGCAAAAUGUUGAAAACCAGCUUAUUGAGUCAUUAAAAUCAAGAAAAUUCUCAUUACAAAUGGAUGAAUCUACAUUUCAGGACACACUUGAUCACAGCUUGUAGAAUUUCAUUAAGAACAGGGGACAGUUUCUUGGCAGCCAAGUUUUCUUAGUGUAUGACGCAAUGGACAAUCAACAUGUUUGGAUUUUCAUUCUUCAUUAUUUUUAAGUAUCUCGUUUUCUUGACCAUUAAGGUAGUAAGUUUUCUUUUGGUAUUUUGUUUGCAUCCAAAUAAUGUGGAUAUCCUUUGCAGUUGUGGUUGUUUCCAAUGGUUCACAAAACAACAUCUCUUCCUGAAAAGCCUUGUGCUCAAUAUAUAUUACAUAAGUCAAAUAACAAUGCCUCACUGUCCUGAAAUGUGGAUUCAUCCAUUUGUAACGAGAAUUUUCUUGAUUUUAAUGACUCAAUAAGCUGGUUUUCAACAUUUACCCCCAUUUCAUCAAUUUUAUUGGAGACAGUGUUAUUACUGAGUGGCAUGUCCCUGACAUCUCUAUCAUCUUUUUGUUGUACAGUUUCUAAGAAUAUUGAGAUAGCUGGUUUAAUCAGUUGCUCUCCAAUAAUGUGAUUCUUUCCAUGUUUUGCUAUAAGCAGGGAAAUUUCAUAGCUGGCUUCGAAGGCAGAGUCUUCUUCUUGCUUUGUUUACUCAUUUUAAAAAGGGCGGACACAAAUCCAAGAAAGCGAAGCAAUGGAGAUGACGAUUUUUGCACAGCAUAGAAAGAAAGGGAUUUGAAGCAACAAUCAGCAAUAGUGAGCAGAGUUGACUGAAGCUUUUAUAAACACUGGACAAUAGAUAUUCAAACAAAGAAACAAAUGCCUAACAAAUGCAGAUACCUCACUUGGUAUACUGAUUGGUUGUAGCUACACUGAUUCCCAUGGUUUAAGUAUAAAUAUUGCAUGGUAAUGUUUCUUUUCAUUUCAAUGUCCAAAAUAGACUUAGGGUCGAUAAGUGUGCACUCAAGUCACUUGAAAAAAUUUUCACAACCUACGCUAACGUAUGCCCUACCCCAAUUUUCUCACACCCAAUGUUGGGAAACAUUGGCUUAGAAGACAACUGGAAGUUCCUGCAGAACAAUUUACUGGGUGCCACUGACCAAAUCUGUGGUUGGUGAAAAGUCCCAACCAGGCCGAGGGUGAUUUGGUGGUGGAACAAGGGGGUGGACAGUGCUAUAAAAGCAGAGACAGGCCUGGAAGGACUGGGCGGAAGCAAAGCUUUAUAUCAGGGAGCCAGAAGAGAGGCUAGGUGAUAGGCUUACAUUGCAGAAGGUAAGAAGUUUGCCAAUGCAUGAAGAUCAGAAGUAUGAGGUGUUCAGGAUUGCAAAGCAGCGUAUCAGAGAGAAUAGAGAUGUGGCAAGUGAGAAGUGUGUGCAAAUGGAUAAUAGUAUGCUUGCACUUAGUGACUCAGAGAAGAAAGAUAUGUGGAGAUGCCAUUAUGAAAGGUUUUUAAAUGUGGAGAAUCAUUGGAAGAAAGAGAGUCUUUCAAAUAUUGAAACAACUGAGGGACCAGCCAUCAGAGUGGAUAGCAGUAUAAUAGAUAAGGCAAUUAAAAAAAAUGAAGACUGGGAAGGCCCCUGGACCAUUGGGUAUCACUGCCGAGAUGAUUAAAAUACAGUGGGAUAUAGUCUAGUCACUUGCAUAGUUAAUCAGAUUAUUCAGGAAGGCGUCAUCCCCAAAGACUGGUGAAACAGUCUUAUAGUCAGCUGCUACAAGGGUAAAGAUGAUGCCUUAGAUAGGAACAACUACAGAGGUAUCAAACUGCUGGAUCAGGCCAUGAAAAUUACAGAGUGAGUUAUGUCAACUAAUUAGGGAUAGAAUUAAACUAGAUGGGAUGCAGUUUGGUUUUGUUCCUGGGAGAAGUACCACAGAUGCCAUCUUCAAAGUGAGACAAUUGCAAGAAAAUAUUUGGCCAAAAAUAAGCCAUUGUACUUAGCCUUUGUUGACCUGUAGAAAGCUUUUGACAGGGUUCUCCACUCUCUUAUUUGGUGGUCUCUAAGGAAGUUAGGAGCAGAGGAGUGGUUUGUUACAGUGGUUCAGGCCAUGUACAGUGAUGCUGUCAGUAAGAUGAGAGUUGGCUUUGAAUACAGUGAUGAAUUUAAUGUACAAAUUGGAGUAUACCAGGGAUCAGUUCUUAGUCCACUCUUAUUCAUCAUAGUUCUCCUGGCCAUAACAGAUGAAUUCAAAACUGGAUGCUCUUAUUGCAGAAUCUGGAGCAGAAUUGGAGAAGUUCCGGAUUUGGAAGCAAAACUUGGAAUCAAAGGGCCUUAAAGUUAACUUAGCUAAGACUAAAGUUGUUAGCAAGAAAGGAGAUAAGACUCUCAGUCUGGCUGGCAAAUGGCCCUGUUCAAUAUGUAGGAAAGGAGUAGGACUUAAUUCCAUUUGCUGUACCAAGUGUAAGUUAUGGACGCAUAAGAGAUGCAGUGGAAUAGUGGGAAUGUUAUCAGAUAAGGUUGCUUUCAUAUGUAGCAGAUACCCAGGAACAAUAAGUACUAAGAGCAUGAGGGACUUAAACUCUCUCAAAUACCAAGGAGAUUCUCUUGAGGUAGUAGAUAGUUUUUGCUAUUUAGGUGACUAAAUUAGUAAUGGUGGUGGAUGCUCUGAAAGUAUUGUUUCUAGAAUGAGAAUAGGGUGGAGGAAGUUCAGAUAAGUACUAUCUCUGUUGGCAGCAAAAGGACUCUCUCUCAGAGUGAAAGAUAAAUUGUAUGAUGCUUGUGUGAGAACGGCUAUGUUACAUGUUAGUGAGAUGUGGGCUCUGGUUGCAGAGGACAUGCAUAGGCUGGAGAGGAAUGCCGGUAGUAUGCUUCAUUGGAUUUGCAACAUCAGAGUGCAUGACCAACAAAGCACAACUGUGUUGCGAGAAAAGUUAAACAUAAAGGGAUUAAAUGUGGUAUGCAGGAGAGUAGAAUGCGUUGGUUGGGACAUGUGAUGUGUAUGAAUGAAGACAGCUGUAUACAGAACUGCCUGUUUCUGAAAGUGGAUGGUACUUGUUGAAGACCCAGGAAGACAUGGGAUGAAGUGGUGAGGACUGAUCUUGGGAUGCUGGGGCUCACGGAGGAAAUGAUAGUGGACUGAGAUGUUUGGCGAUAUGAGGUUCUAGAGAAGACCCAUCCGUGAAACUGAGUGCCAGAAGAGUUGUGUCCCACCCACAUGGAACAACACACUUUUCACCCACUCUACCUUAAGAAAUUGAACUACAACUUCUCUUCUAACUGUAUCUUUCUCUUCCUCACAUUUCCUUUUCAUAAAUUAUGAUUGUUUUCCUAUCUCGUUUCUUGCCCUCACUACCCAGCUCACUGUAUCACUGCUCCUCACACCCCUAACACCCACACCCUAUUUUUCUAACCAAGUUCUAUGCUCAUAUUCUUGUUAUUUGUGAGUAAACCCUAGCACUACACCAUCUCUCUUUGACUCUCUCUUACACUUUUGCUGUGUCCUACUCUCUCACUUACCCUUUGGGCACUCUUUCUCUCCUUCCCUUGUUUUUCCUCUGAUUAGGUAACCAAGUAUCUCCUUUACAUCAGCACACUUGUUUCUGGCCUCUUUCUUGUACCUCUCUCUCUCUUUGUGUGUGUGUGUGUGUGUGUGUGUGUGUGUGUGUUUAACCUUGAACCUCCUCUACAGCAAGACACCUAUUUCUGCCUCUCUUUUUCUCUGUUACACUCUAACCUUUCAUCUUCUGAUACUGGAUCACCUCCUCUAAUGCUCCCUUGGUUGUGGCAAGACACCUGCUUCUGUCUCUUUGUCACACUUUAAUCUUCCAUUCUCUGACACGAGUUCCCCUUCUCAAAUGCCCUACUCCUCUCAUAAUUCCUUGUCUUGUCUUGGUUACCCUGAAAGUGCUGGUACCACAUUAAAAGCAUCCAGCCCACACUGUAAUGUGGUUGACAUUUGGAAGGGCAUCCAGUUGUAAAAAUCAUACCAAAACUAACUUCACCUGUACUAGUGCCACGUAAAAUGCACUGAGUCUACUUUGCAGAAUGGUUGGUGUUCGGAAGGGCAACCAGCUGUAAAAUCCCUGGCAAAACAGACACAGUGGCCUGGGAUAGUCUUCUAACUGGACGGCUUCUGUCAUCCGUCCUACCUAUGCAUGCAUGGAAGAUGGACGUUAAACAAUGAUGAUGAUGAAAUAUAUGUAUAUGUACACACACACACACACGCACACACAGUGAAACAAGACAAACCGAUUAAAAAAUUGCAUUGAAGGUGAGUAUGUUUGAGAAGAAAUCUAACUUCAAGCACCUUUUUACUGAUCAAUUUUUAGACACUACUUUCUAAACCUGGCAAAGUAUGUAGGGGUGCAAAUUUUGAUUUUGCACCUGCUAAAAAUUUUAGGGGGUGUAAGUGUACCCCCCUGCACCCCCUCUCUGAGCCCUUAAUUGCUUCUGCUAAAUAUUGAUAUAUGUAUGUAUGUAUGUAGGUAAGUAGGUGGGUAAGUGAGUGAGUAGCUUGUGUAUGUGGUAUUGAUGAGCUGAAAUAACUGAAAUAUUGAUAGCUACCAUUCUUAUUCCCUUUCCGGGUGAUCUAUUUCACCUGGCUUUCAGUAUAUAAUGUUUUUUAACACAUCUUUUAAGGGACUUUCUUGGGACGAAAUACCACAGCUUAAGUAUUUGACAUCAUUAAGUUUUUGACUGGAUUAAGUAUUUGACAUCAAUAAUGGUUACAGUGUUAGAGCUGCUCUUAAUUCAAAAUUUAAUUUUGUUUUACUUGUGUGUCACUGUUGUACAUCAGCAGAUAGAUUUUACACUGCCCGUGUAUACCUCCGACCAGUGAUUUCAUUUUGUUUCAGUGGUGACUUGAAAAUAUAGUAUUGGUGAUUUGAAAUUACAGUGAAAUAUUGAUAUUCACCAUUUUCAUUCAUCUGAGGGGCAAUUCAUUUUACCUGGUUUUGAGGUAUACAACGUUUUUUAGUACUUUACAUCCCAAAGGAAUUUUCCUGGAAUGAGACACUACAACCAAAAAGUGUUUAGACAACAGAUAUGCAUUAAGCGUGUGACAUCAAUGUUUACAUUAUUAGAGCUGCUUCUAACUCAAAAUUUAAUAGGUAUGUAUGUAUAUAUAUGUAUGUGUGUGUGUUUUAUGUGUAUGUGUGUGUGUGUAUGUAUGUGUGUGUGUGUGUGUGCGUGCGUGUGUGUGUGUGUGGAGUAUGUAUGUUAGAUUGAAAAGAAAAUCUUGUCAUAUUUCGAAAUGGGAAAGAAACAAAUGUUUUUUUGGUCUGAGUCUAUAUAUUUAAUGAAGAUAUUUCCCUUCUUUAUUGAUAACAAAAUACCAUCUAUUUGACAAAUUGUUGAUCCCUAGUGUGUACAUUCCUCAGGCUUUGAAGUAAAAAAAAAAAAAAAAAAUUAUAACUUUUAACCCCUUCACAAGUAGGAAACAAUUAUCUACCAUUCACAGUAUCCACUCUUCAACCAUAUGAUCCAUUUUUUAAAAAUGUAUUUUUCUAUACUCUAAAGACGUUAUUAACAAGACAGCAGAGUAUCAAAAAUUGUACUAUACAAGACUAAGUAGCAGAAAUAACAUCUUGCAACCUUUAGUAAUGUUCCUUAAAUAGUUCAAAUCCUCUUGGGUCAACUUCGCCUUUCACCUUUUGGAGUUGAUAAAAAAUAUACUAGUCAAAUUAGUAUAUCCCUCCCUUAAAAUUUUGGUCUUGUGUCUUUUUAAAACAAAAUUAUUAUUUAUUAAUUUACCAUACUAAUUUUGCUUUCUUAUUCUUUUAGCUUACAUCAAAAAUGUUACUGUUUCUGGUCCAGUCUACCAACUAGAAGUGAUAGAUACUGCUGGAUAGCUUUGAUACUAUCAAAUUGAUUUGCAGCAAUAUGAAAUGCAAAAUAUGAGUUUCAAUUGUUAUGGUUUGAAACAAAAGAGAUCUUGAAGAGGACAGGUAAGUUAUUUUUAUUGGAUUAUAUUUGGUCUCUAUUUACUGUUGAUAGUAGAUAUGGUGUAUGUGUAUCUAAACAUUUAAUCUAUUGUAUGAUUAUAUUGAAUUAUCUGGGAAGUUUGUUUUUCUCUUCAUAAUAUGUGAAACAACAUAUUUAAUUCAUAAUGUUUUAAUUAACCAAACAAUCAUUUAUAAACGCAGGAAUUGGUGUCUCUGUUUUGAAAUACCAAAUUUUGUCAGAAUUUUGUUUGUAACUUAUAAGGUUGGAAAACCAGAAAGCACACAUUCAUUAUUGAGAAAAAGAAAAAAAUUCAUCUGAUAAUCAAAAAAUAUGUACUGCACAGAAAAGAUCACGAGUAAACGAGGGGAAACAACUCUAACUUUUCCAAUAUUAAGUCUUCAUUCAAGACAAAAACAAGUGAUAUUGAAUAAAUGAGCUUUUAACACAAAAUCAAAUACAAUGAUCCAAUGCUUACAAAUUGGGUAAAUUGGAUUCUGCUGUCCAAUACCAACGUCCAACAUUAGCAAACAGAAACUGUGUUAUUUUUCAUUAUGAUAUGUAGCACAUUACUCUACUUGAGAAGAUCUACGCACCACAACAGAAAUAGGAUCCUAAACCCAAGGUGCCACAUAAAAAGCAUUAGUGUGGUGCCACGUAAAAUGCACACAGCACACUCUGGGGUGUGGUUGGUGUUAGGAAGGGCAUCCAGUAAUAGAAACCAAGGCAAAAUAGACUAUGCCUGGUGUGGCUCCUGACCUUGCUAGUUCCUAUCAUGCCGUCCAACCCAUGCCAGCAUAGAAAAUGGAUGUUAAAUGUUGUUGAUGAUGAUGGUGAUGAUAACAGUAGAUUCCAUGUUUCUUUAGCCACUUGACAAAAAUUAGUGGAGUUUGCUUGAGAAUUGUUGGUCUGUUUCUUAUAUUCACCAGAUAUUGCAUCUUGAGAGGAAGAGCUAUUAGACUGGGUGUGUCAUGAGGAAAGUCAUAUGUAUUAAACCAACUAUUUCAUAUAUUUGAUACUUGUGUUGACUCCUAUAUGAUGAAAAACCAGGACAACCAUACCAGUUUUUGAAUACAAAAUUACGAAACUAAAAAUGUGUGAUAUAGCAUAUAGCAAGAAUGGAGAGAAAGGCACAGACAUAGGUUCAAAUUUUUUGAGUAGGUAGCAGAGUUAUGGUGGUUGGUGAGGACCUACAUUUGGUUGAGAAAUAGAUAGAUGAUAUGAUCAAGGUGGUCACAAAGUGUGUUGUAGGAUAAUUUAGCUUGGACUUGUCUUUGAAAACAUGACAGUAACAUUUAUCUCUGUAUAUGAUCCACAUGCUAGUCUGGCAGAUGAACAAUCGAACCAUUUCUAUGUGAUCAUGAAUAACAAUGACCUUAUUAUUGUAGCUGUUGGGCCGUUACUGCUGAGGACAUGCGUAGGCUCGCAAGGAAUGAAGCCAGUAUGCUCCGAAAGAUGUGUAAUGCCAGUGUGCAUACUAGACAGAGUAACAGUACCUUGAGAGAAAAGUUGAACUUACGAAGCAUCAGUUGUAGUGUGCAAGAGAGACGACUGCGCUGGUAUGGUCAUGUAGCGAGAAUGGAUGAGGAUAGCUGUGUGAAAAAGUGCCACACCUUAACAGUUGAGGGAUCCUGUGGAAGAGGUAGGCCCAGGAAGACCUGGGAUUAGGUGGUAAGGCACGACCUUUGAACAUUGGGCCUCACCGAGGCGAUGACUUCUGACUGAGACCUUUAGAAAUAUACUGUGCGCGAGAAGACCCGGCAAACCAAGUGAGACCUAAAUCUAAGGCCCAGCCAGCCCACUUAUGCGUAUC
Long non-coding RNA from Octopus bimaculoides (California two-spot octopus), 10821 nucleotides. The record is from RefSeq and is a predicted model, not a curated record. Lineage: Eukaryota; Metazoa; Mollusca; Cephalopoda; Octopoda; Octopodidae.